RNAcentral lists this ribosomal RNA (253 nucleotides) under uncultured bacterium. RNAcentral describes it as "partial 16S ribosomal RNA". It matches the Rfam family "Bacterial small subunit ribosomal RNA", at positions 524 to 776 of the family's 1533-position model. The record is from RNAcentral.
UACGGGGGGGGCAAGCGUUGUUCGGAAUUACUGGGCGUAAAGGGUGCGUAGGUGGUGAGGUAAGUCGGAUGUGAAAUCUCCGAGCUCAACUCGGAAAUGGCAUUGGAAACUACCUUGCUCGAGGGUUGGAGGGGGGACUGGAAUGCUUGGUGUAGCAGUGAAAUGCGUAGAUAUCAAGCGGAACACCAGUGGCGAAGGCGAGUCCCUGGACAACUCCUGACACUGAGGCACGAAAGCUAGGGGAGCAAACAGG